Molecule: non-coding RNA, 136 nt
Organism: Triticum aestivum (bread wheat)
Lineage: Eukaryota; Viridiplantae; Streptophyta; Magnoliopsida; Poales; Poaceae
Source: Rfam
AAAGUACUCCCUCCGUCCCAAAAUUCUUGUCUUAGAUUUGUCUAGAUACGGAUGUAUCAAGUCACAUUUUAAGUAUUAGAUACAUCCGUAUCUAGACAAAUCUAAGACAAGAAAUUUGGGACAGAGGGAGUAGUUG